Molecule: ribosomal RNA, 573 nt
Filed under: uncultured bacterium
Lineage: Bacteria
Description: bacterial SSU rRNA
Rfam family: Bacterial small subunit ribosomal RNA
Source: RNAcentral
GCAGUCGAACGAUGAAGUUAUGACGGAGGCUUCGGCCGACUGAAUGAUGGAUUAGUGGCGGACGGGUGAGUAACGCGUGAGUAACCUGCCUUUCAGAGAGGAAUAACAUUUGGAAACGAAUGGUAAUACCACAUAACAUUACGUUCUCGCAUGGGGAUGUAAUCAAAGAUUUAUCGCUGAGAGAUGGACUCGCGUCCGAUUAGCUGGAUGGUGAGGUAACGGCCCACCAUGGCGACGAUCGGUAGCCGGACUGAGAGGUUGAACGGCCACAUUGGGACUGAGACACGGCCCAGACUCCUACGGGAGGCAGCAGUGGGGAAUAUUGCACAAUGGGGGAAACCCUGAUGCAGCAACGCCGCGUGAAGGAAGACGGUCUUCGGAUUGUAAACUUUUGUUCUUGGUGAAGAAGAAUGACGGUAGCCAAGGAGGAAGCCACGGCUAACUACGUGCCAGCAGCCGCGGUAAUACGUAGGUGGCAAGCGUUGUCCGGAAUUACUGGGUGUAAAGGGAGCGCAGGCGGGAAAUCAAGUUGGAUGUGAAAUGUCGGGGCUUAACCCCGGAACUGCAUCCAAA